UUUCUAGACUAUUAAAAUAAUAAAAUUAAAUAUAAACUUAUAAAUAAUAAUUUGUGGGUGUAGAUAGAAAUCUACCAAAGAAACGGGGGAAUGUUAAGAAGCAAAUCGAAACUCUUGGAAAAUGUCGCUCUAUACCUAUUCACAAGUGACAUUUUCUCACAGCCGAUCCAAUUUAUAGUUGUUUCAACUGAAUCCAAACUCUCUGUCUUUCGGAUCGAAAUAGAAAACGAACAGGAGCUAAAAGCUAGAAAGGGGACCAAACGUCAUGCAGAUGGUAUAGAAAGGAGAAGAAAAAUAAGGCAAUAAAGUGAAAAGACACAAAAAUAAACGAAAUCGCGAAGAAUGAGUGGAUUAAUCGACAUGCAAAUAGUAAGAAAUGGAGUAAUAAAAUAUAACAAAAGAGAAGGGACGGAAAGAAGAAAUACGUAAUUCU
Molecule: long non-coding RNA, 433 nt
Filed under: Androctonus crassicauda
Lineage: Eukaryota; Metazoa; Arthropoda; Arachnida; Scorpiones; Buthidae
Source: RNAcentral